RNAcentral lists this ribosomal RNA (492 nucleotides) under uncultured bacterium. RNAcentral's name for it is "partial 16S ribosomal RNA". It matches the Rfam family "Bacterial small subunit ribosomal RNA", at positions 29 to 507 of the family's 1533-position model. The record is from RNAcentral.
AGUGAACGCUGGCGGUAGGCCUAACACAUGCAAGUCGAACGGCAGCACAGUAAGAGCUUGCUCUUACGGGUGGCGAGUGGCGUACGGGUGAGGAAUACAUCGGACUCUACUUUUUCGUGGGGGAUCACGUAGGGAAACUUACGCUAAUACCGCAUACGACCUACGGUUGAAAGCAUGGGAUCUUCGGACCUUGCGCGAUUGAAUGAGCCGCUGUCGGAUUAGCUAGUUGGCGGGGUAAAGGCCCACCAAGGCGACGAUCCGUAGCUGGUCUGAGAGGAUGGUCAGCCACACUGGAACUGAGACACGGUCCAGACGCCUAAGGGAGGCAGCAGUGGGGAAUAUUGGACAAUGGGCGCAAGCCUGAUCCAGCCAUACCGCGUGGGUGAAGAAGGCCUUCGGGUUGUAAAGCCCUUUUGUUGGGAAAGAAAAGCAGCAGGUUAAUACCCAGCUGUUCUGACGGUACCCAAAGAAUAAGCACCGGCUAACUUCGUG